This 351-nucleotide long non-coding RNA is filed under the name Cricetulus griseus (Chinese hamster). RNAcentral describes it as "lncRNA (ENSCGRG00000024857.1)". Lineage: Eukaryota; Metazoa; Chordata; Mammalia; Rodentia; Cricetidae. The record is from RNAcentral.
UGGUCUUAGACGGUUGCUUAAGGGGGCUGAAGGGGGCAAGGAACAGCAUAAUUUCUGGAUUCUCGUGAGGCAAGGAGAAAAGCCACUAGACUCCCUGGAACCAGCGUAAGCUGGCUGAUGGAGAAACCAAUGCAAGGACCAGUAACCCAGCCAAGAGGUGUGCUUGAGCAAGGGCCCCAGUCAGAUGGUGGAUAUGGACGAUGGGUGACCCAGAGGCUGAUGGACUGGACCCUCACAAUGGUCAUGGACCCCAGUACUGAGCAGCAUGCUGUCAGUCUGUGGGAGCAUUCAUUCUCAUGCCUGCAAGUUCAUAUAUUUAUCCCUCCCAGACUGUCGCCAUCCACAAAAUAA